CAACGAGCGCAACCCUGCAUUCAGUUGCCAUCGGUAAGGCCGGGCACUCUGGAUGGACUGCCGGCGCAAGCCGGAGGAAGUGGGGACGACGUCAAGUCAUCAUGGCCCUUAUGUCCAGGGCGACACACGUGCUACAAUGGCCGGCACAACGGGAAGCGAAGGGGCGACCCUGAGCGGAUCCCACAAAAGCCGGUCUCAGUUCGGAUUGCAGUCUGCAACUCGACUGCAUGAAGUUGGAAUCGCUAGUAAUCGUGGAUCAGCCAAGCCGCGGUGAAUACGUUCCCGGGCCUU
This 291-nucleotide ribosomal RNA is filed under the name uncultured Thermovirga sp. RNAcentral describes it as "partial 16S ribosomal RNA". It matches the Rfam family "Bacterial small subunit ribosomal RNA", at positions 1090 to 1382 of the family's 1533-position model. The record is from RNAcentral. Lineage: Bacteria; Thermotogati; Synergistota; Synergistia; Synergistales; Thermovirgaceae.